UACGUAGGGGGCUAGCGUUGUCCGGAUUUAUUGGGCGUAAAGAGCGUGUAGGCGGCCAGGUAGGUCUGCUGUGAAAACUCGAGGCUUAACCUCGAGCUGUCGGCGGAAACCAUCUGGCUAGAGUCCGGAAGAGGAGAAUGGAAUUCCUGGUGUAGCGGUGAAAUGCGCAGAUAUCAGGAAGAACACCCGUGGCUAAGGCGGUUCUCUAGUACGGUACUGACGCUGAGACGCGAAAGCGUGGGGAGCGAACAGG
Molecule: ribosomal RNA, 253 nt
Filed under: uncultured bacterium
Lineage: Bacteria
Description: partial 16S ribosomal RNA
Rfam family: Bacterial small subunit ribosomal RNA
Source: RNAcentral